ACGCUGGCGGCACGCCUAAUACAUGCAAGUCGAACGAAGUAGCAAUACUUAGUGGCAAACGGGUGAGUAAUAUGUGGGUAUCUGCCCUCUGGUAUGGAAUAACACGAGGAAACUUGUGCUAAUACUGUAUAAGCCUUCACAGGGAAAGCUUUAUGCGCCAAAGGAUGAGCCCGCACUUGAUUAGCUAGUUGGUAAGGUAAAAGCUUACCAAGGCAACGAUCAAUAGCUGAUCUGAGAGGAUGAUCAGCCACAUUGGGACUGAGACACGGCCCAAACUCCUACGGGAGGCAGCAGUAGGGAAUCUUGCACAAUGGGGGAAACCCUGAUGCAGCGAUGCCGCGUGAGUGAAGAAGGCCUUUGGGUUGUAAAGCUCUUUCGUCGGGGAAGAAAAUGACUGUACCCGAAUAAGAAGGUCCGGCUAACUUCGUGCCAGCAGCCGCGGUAAUACGAAGGGACCUAGCGUAGUUCGGAAUUACUGGGCUUAAAGAGCUCGUAGGUGGUUAGAAAAGUUAGUGGUGAAAUCCCAAGGCUCAACCUUGGAACUGCCACUAAAACUUUUUAGCUAGAGUGUGAGAGAGGUAAGCGGAAUUUCUAGUGUAGAGGUGAAAUUCGUAGAUAUUAGAAAGAACACCAAUUGCGAAGGCAGCUUUCUGGAUCAUUACUGACACUGAGGAGCGAAAGCAUGGGUAGCGAAGAGGAUUAGAUACCCUCGUAGUCCAUGCUGUAAACGAUGUGUGUUAGACGUUGGAAAUUUAUUUUUCAGUGUCGCAGCAAAAGCGUUAAACACACCGCCUGGGGAGUACG
RNAcentral lists this ribosomal RNA (804 nucleotides) under uncultured Pelagibacteraceae bacterium. RNAcentral's name for it is "bacterial SSU rRNA". It matches the Rfam family "Bacterial small subunit ribosomal RNA", at positions 33 to 884 of the family's 1533-position model. Lineage: Bacteria; Pseudomonadati; Pseudomonadota; Alphaproteobacteria; Candidatus Pelagibacterales; Candidatus Pelagibacteraceae. The record is from RNAcentral.